CAGUCGCAAGCAGAAUCCAGGAACUCACAACACUGAGGAGGGGCAGCUACACCGCGGCCUCCCAGGAAUGGAAGCAGCUAAGGCGGUCUCCAUGGAAACAGAAAAGAAGAGAGGCAAAUCGCUGUCUUCCACUCAGGGACCCGCCCUCAAGAUAAAUUAGCCAGUGAUUCGAAGGGGCUAGCAACAAGAAGGUAUCAUUGAUGGGGACGAGGGAAACCCGGGUCUGUCACUGUCCAAUCGCUUUUGAGGUUGGGCCCGCGGCUCUUUCCAGUAUUAACCAAUAGUGAGGGACGAUGAAAUAACCUCCGCCCGCCACUGGAGGAUGUCAGGAAGGAGGAAUGAAUUUUGAGUGGACGCUUCCGAUUAGUGGGUUUGGAACGCUGGGGCUGAAAGCCCACUUGUGAUUCGCUGCCUCUAGGACGAGGCCCCAGUGGGGAGGGGCUACAGCGGAGUUGGAGAUUGUGUGGAAAAGAGGCGGCCUCGGGGUCGGCUCUUGGGGAGAGGGCUGGCCAGAAUGCCCAGCACUAUACUUGGAGUGGGUGCAGAAGUAUUCAUCUUAGCGCUGCUCUGGGUGUUGAUAUUGCUGCUGUGUGUGCUGUUAUCCCGAGCCUCCAGUCUAGCUAGAUCCUUGACAAGUUCUUCAUUGGUCAUUAUGUUCUACUGGUUUUUCUCAAUGUUUUUU
Molecule: long non-coding RNA, 682 nt
Organism: Sarcophilus harrisii (Tasmanian devil)
Lineage: Eukaryota; Metazoa; Chordata; Mammalia; Dasyuromorphia; Dasyuridae
Exons: 3
Source: RefSeq, a predicted model, not a curated record